This is a long non-coding RNA of Eptesicus fuscus (big brown bat), 508 nucleotides long. RefSeq lists it as uncharacterized. The record is from RefSeq and is a predicted model, not a curated record. The transcript is spliced from 3 exons. Lineage: Eukaryota; Metazoa; Chordata; Mammalia; Chiroptera; Vespertilionidae.
ACACUGCCAGCUUUCUGGUUUCUCUUCCCACUCCCCCUAUGACGGGGCCCGAGGUUCUGUCCUUGUUCUCGUCUCUCCCAACAUGGUUUCCUCUGGCAUCCUCAUGGGUCCAGGUUUUCGCUUUCCAUCAAAAUUCUCCUAUACAUUUGCCAAGUUUAGAUUUACUCACUCAGAUUUCCCAUCUGGCUCUCUGCAUGGACCUUGAUUGGGAACCUAGAUUUUUAUUAUCAGCCUCGGAUGAGAGGCGGUUUGGCACCUUCUGGAGAGGUAACUGCGUGUUCAGUAGUGUGCGGUGUGAAGCAGGGAGGUCUGCCUAGAGGAGGAAGCCGGGAAGCAAGCUGCAGCCCAAGUGCCCAGGGUCCUGAGUCCCAUGCGAAUUCGUGUUUGCCCGACCCCAUGCAUCAGCUGUCCCCAGAGGUUUCGAUUCAUAACUGCUAGCCAUUCAUCGCCAGCUCAGGAGACCAGCAUAGAAUUGCCUGCUUUUAUUUCAAGCAAUUGCAGCAACAGU